UACGAAAGGUGCAAGCGUUACUCGGAAUCACUGGGCGUAAAGCGCACGUAGGCGGACUUACAGGUCAAUUGUGAAAUACCUGGGCUCAACCCGGGAACUGCAGUUGAAACCGUUUGUCUUGAAUACCUGAGAGGGUGGGGGAAUACCUGGUGGAGAAGUGAAAUUCGUAGAGAUCAGGUGGAACACCGGAGGCGAAGGCGCCUGCCUGGCAGUGUAUUGACGCUGAGGUGCGAAAGUGCGGGGAGCAAACAGGAUUAGAUACCCUGGUAGUCCGCACCGUAAACGAUGGAUACUAGGCGUUCGGAGAGUUAACCCUCUGAGUGCCAAAGUUCACACAUUAAGUAUCCCGCCUGGGAAGUACGGUCGCAAGACUAAA
RNAcentral lists this ribosomal RNA (376 nucleotides) under uncultured bacterium. Its description in RNAcentral is "bacterial SSU rRNA". It matches the Rfam family "Bacterial small subunit ribosomal RNA", at positions 524 to 898 of the family's 1533-position model. The record is from RNAcentral.